This is a long non-coding RNA of Betta splendens (Siamese fighting fish), 1773 nucleotides long. RefSeq lists it as uncharacterized. The record is from RefSeq and is a predicted model, not a curated record. Lineage: Eukaryota; Metazoa; Chordata; Actinopteri; Anabantiformes; Osphronemidae. The transcript has 3 exons.
AUAGAGGCUGUUGGUCCGAUAAUAUAAAUACAUUCAGGAGCAUGAAUUUUCAUAAUUGUGGUUUAAAACAUAGAAGUAGCUGUGCAAGAAAUUAAGACUUAAAGCAGAGGCUUUAGUAACUGCUACCGUUUAGCUGUUUACUGUGUUUACUGCUUGUGUGAAAUGGCACAAGACAAACAAAGACCUUAGAGUAGAAUGAUGGUGGCGGUGACAGUGUGUAUGCGUCCUUAUAGAUGUGUAGACGCAGCAUUAGAAUGAUGACUGCGUUUUUCACUGCUUUCUGGAGCCAGUGCUUGGAUUUCCAUAUACGGUUUGUGUCUCUAUGGGGUUUAUGAUCCACAUACAGCUGACCUCUGAGUACAAACAUGUCAGAGGAGAUGGAUUCACGCAGGCUGUCUCUCCUUUUUGGGUUAUUUAGACCAGCACAGAUCCUUUGCCGGCUUUUACAGCUUCCACUCCGUUAAACCUCCCUCCAGCUCAGAUUCGUCAGAAUUAAUUAUUCACUAAGCCCACAAAAAUGUAUGAUUAGUAAUUAUGAAAAAUCUGGUCGGACAAUAUAUAUAGUUGGUAUUAUUAGUCACACUUAUGAAUAUGAGCUAAACCUGUGUGACACAGGUCUCAACAGGUUCCACACUUUACUGUAGACGACACUGAAAUCAGACUUGAACAUUGGAUUGAUCCAUGUUGCAGUUCUGAUCUUUACAGUAGCUCCACACGCUGAGGAAAAGCCUGAACCUGCAGGAGACGGAGGGACUCGUCACAUGACAAAUGUCACUUUCUUCCAGUUUGCUGACGCUCUAUCGCGGAAUGGGAAGGGUCCAGUUCACGCGAUCCGGCGGAACCUCCACAAUGUUCUUCCUGUGGAGCCUCUGUCUAGGUCUGCUCUGGUCUCAACACACCACUGCCUCAGAUAAAGCGGUGUCAGUGACGUGCAACCAAACGGUGGAAGUUCAGGCCGGAGAAGCCGUGACACUAAACUGCAGCAUUCACAUGGCUUUGGACGGUGAUUGCGCCGGUUUUAUGUAUAGGUGGUACAACACCAGUGGCCUGGUACCGUGUACCGACGGCUCCGCGAAAUACACCUGUGGAUGGAAUAAUCGGACCUACGUGUCACUGAUCCUCUCAGAUGUGAUGGAGCAGGAGAAUUACACUGUUAGCAUAUUCACAGACUGUGGCCUGGAUGAAGCCUCUGUCUCUGUGUGGGUGAAACGCCCCGACUACAACACUAAUGGUCAAGUUGAAUCUAAAGGAAACAGCAUCGCUACACAGAAAUGUAACACGUGGGUCCAAUUAUUGGUUGUUAUUUGCGUCCUCUGUGUUGUUGUAGUUGUUGGACUUUUACUAUAUAAAAAAAAGUGCAAAGACGAGAUACGUGAAAACCUCAUCUCUUGAUGUGCAUAAAGGCGACAGGUGGUUAUAAUAUGAAGCCCGUGUUAACAAUAUCAUAAGUAUUACCUGUGUUAACGAACACAUGAAAAACCUCUGUUAAACAGCUUUGUGUGCUGCUGCCAGCCCAGGAGGUUGUGUGAUUGUCUGCCUGCAUGGUACAUGUGGGCCUGUGAUGGACAGGCGGCCUGCCUGGGCCACGCCUGGCUAAGCCCCGCCCCCUCACUCAUUAGGGAGCCUGCUCGUCUGGUUUUACAUUCAAACACUGUGACUUCUCCACUACCAGAGAAAAAUGAGUUUGUGUGCAUUAAUCUAUGCAUUAUUGUAACAUGAACUUAUCUGAACAUGCACCCGCUGCUUUAUCUCCAUGAGUAAUAAAGUCUCUCU